RNAcentral lists this microRNA precursor (103 nucleotides) under Marmota monax (woodchuck). Lineage: Eukaryota; Metazoa; Chordata; Mammalia; Rodentia; Sciuridae. The record is from RNAcentral.
AGUAGGAUAACUGGGCCAAAUGGUGAUUACACUCUAAGUUUUCUAAGGAAUCUCCAUACUGCUUUCCAGAGAGGUUGUACCACUUUGCAUUCCCAUCAGAAAU